UACAGAGGGUGCAAGCGUUGCUCGGAAUUAUUGGGCGUAAAGGGUGGGUAGGUGGUCUCGUUUGUCUGGGGUGAAAGCCCUGAGCUCAACUCAGGAAGUGCCUUAGAAACGGCGAGACUAGAGUGCUGGAGAGGGUCGUGGAAUUCCCGGUGUAGCGGUGAAAUGCGUAGAGAUCGGGAGGAACACCAGAGGCGAAGGCGGCGACCUGGACAGUAACUGACACUAAACCACGAAAGUGUGGGGAGCAAACAGG
Molecule: ribosomal RNA, 253 nt
Filed under: uncultured bacterium
Lineage: Bacteria
Description: partial 16S ribosomal RNA
Rfam family: Bacterial small subunit ribosomal RNA
Source: RNAcentral